GUCGAGCGCAGGAAGCAAGUUGAUCCCCUUCGGGGGUGACGCUUGUGGAAUGAGCGGCGGACGGGUGAGUAACACGUGGGCAACCUGCCUGUAAGACUGGGAUAACCCCGGGAAACCGGGGCUAAUACCGGAUAAUACUUUCUUUUGCAUAAAGGAAAGUUGAAAGGCGGCUUCGGCUGUCACUUACAGAUGGGCCCGCGGCGCAUUAGCUAGUUGGUGAGGUAACGGCUCACCAAGGCGACGAUGCGUAGCCGACCUGAGAGGGUGAUCGGCCACACUGGGACUGAGACACGGCCCAGACUCCUACGGGAGGCAGCAGUAGGGAAUCUUCCGCAAUGGACGAAAGUCUGACGGAGCAACGCCGCGUGAGUGAUGAAGGUUUUCGGAUCGUAAAACUCUGUUGUUAGGGAAGAACAAGUACGAUAGUAACUGAUCGUACCUUGACGGUACCUAACCAGAAAGCCACGGCUAACUACGUGCCAGCAGCCGCGGUAAUACGUAGGUGGCAAGCGUUGUCCGGAAUUAUUGGGCGUAAAGCGCUCGCAGGCGGUCCUUUAAGUCUGAUGUGAAAUCUCGCGGCUCAACCGCGAACGGUCAUUGGAAACUGGAGGACUUGAGUACAGAAGAGGAGAGUGGAAUUCCACGUGUAGCGGUGAAAUGCGUAGAGAUGUGGAGGAACACCAGUGGCGAAGGCGACUCUCUGGUCUGUAACUGACGCUGAGGAGCGAAAGCGUGGGGAGCGAACAGGAUUAGAUACCCUGGUAGUCCACGCCGUAAACGAUGAGUGCUAGGUGUUAGGGGUUUCCGCCCCUUAGUGCUGAAGUAACGCAUUAAGCACUCCGCCUGGGGAGUACGGCCGCAAGGCUGAACUCAAAAGAUUGACGGGGGCCCGCACAG
RNAcentral lists this ribosomal RNA (897 nucleotides) under Oceanobacillus picturae. RNAcentral describes it as "bacterial SSU rRNA". It matches the Rfam family "Bacterial small subunit ribosomal RNA", at positions 46 to 928 of the family's 1533-position model. The record is from RNAcentral. Lineage: Bacteria; Bacillati; Bacillota; Bacilli; Caryophanales; Bacillaceae.